Molecule: ribosomal RNA, 2142 nt
Filed under: Triticum aestivum (bread wheat)
Lineage: Eukaryota; Viridiplantae; Streptophyta; Magnoliopsida; Poales; Poaceae
Description: partial small subunit ribosomal RNA
Source: RNAcentral
AUGGCUGGUAAACCCUCGCUCCCGUCAGGCUUCGGCACGAGGCCAUGGCUGGUCCAAGCAACGCCCGAGGAGCGACAGACGUUCGUCGACUCGGCGGACGGCAGCUCGCACGCGGCGAUCGUUCCCGAGAUGCAAGGCAAAACGUGCCUAGGCUGCGUCCACGACGGCGACUGGCUGCUCAUGCUGGACGACUCCACCGCCGAAUGCUUCCUCCUCCGCCUCACCGAUUCAAAUGCCAAGAAGAUCCCGCUGCCGCCGCUGCACGAGCCGUCGGAUGACAUAGCGAGGUGUGCGACGCUCGGCACAUCGCCGGCGCACCAGGACUGUGCCGUGGUGGUCGCCGUUGCACGCGAGGUGGAAGACCGCGUGGAGACGUUCCUGCUUCACUGCCGCCCCGGCGCCUCGCAAGUGUGGGCCUGGCUUGAUGCCCCGGGGCUCACUUUCCCAUGCCUUAUGAUCGCCCAUAGAGGGAAGAUCUACUUCUUCGACACGCUCACCGUGAUAGGCCAAGACGGCGACGGCACGGUCCGAGCACGGCUGCUCGGCACUCUCGGCGGCACCAAAAAGAUACACGACAGAGCGGCCAUGUACUACGCCGUGGAGUCGUGCGGGGAUCUCUUCAUAAUAGUCACAGAGCAAUUUGGGGAGUUUGUCGGCGACCCCACACUCACCGGCGUCGCGGUGUACCGCCUGGAUCUUGAGUCCAUGACGUGGAAGAGGGUGGAUAGCAUCGGCGGCGACCGUGCCUUCCUCAUCUCCGGGCGCUACGCCAUCUCCGUGCCCCCGUCCAAGGGCAAGAGGGUUGGUACCGCAGGGCAACUGUGUGUACCUCGUCCUGUCGAGCGCGAGAGGCUAUACAAGUUCUGUUUGGACGACAACACCAUCAGCUUCCGCCAGAUCCUCCCGCAGCCCACCAAGCCUUGUUGCAGAGCAUUCUGGAUUGUUCCGCCAUUGCCCAUGUCCAUGGUAGUCGAAGAAAUUGGAUUGUUGUCGACUAAUGGAGUCGCGCCGAAAUUGUCCAUCUUGAAGUUGGAGGAGGACGAGGAGCAGGCCACCUCUUGUAAUACACGGCCAUGGCAUGAUCUGCCACUAAAAUUGCUACAACAGGUCGUCUCGAGACUUUCUUUGGUGGAUCGUAUCCGAUUCCCUGCAGUCUGCAAGUCGUGGAGCAUGGUGCCCAACCCAGUUGAGCAAGUCAAUGUGUGGCCUUGGCUCCUGCACUGCUCCGGCCGAGAUGGGGCAUGUACGUUAUUCGACCCUCUGCGCGGCCAGGAGUACAAAAUGACGGUUGGAACAUUCGACAUCAACCUAGACGAACAAGACGAGCAUAUUUUCCGAUUCUCCAAAAACGGUUGGGUGGCCAUGUCGACCAAUGCAGAUAUCGAUGACAUGUACAUCAUAAACCCCUUCAACGAGGACGUUGUGGAGAUACCCAUCCUCGAGAGGAAAUACUACUACAUGGGCCUGUCAUGGUCCUCGGCGGACCCGGCGUCACCGGAGUGCGUCUUCUUCGGCAUCGUCAGCCGGCACGACGGCAAAUCAAUGUCCUUAAUUACGUGGCGGCACGGCGAGAUCGAGUGGUUUGAAAGGCAUUUUGAGUAGUACGGAGGGGAGCCCUUCCCGGUGGCAUACAACAACCCCGUCUUCUUCCACGACAAGUUCUAUUGCCUCGGGAGAAAGGGCAACCUCGGCACGUUUGACCCGGCAAGCGACACAUGGAUGAUAUUGGAGAAGCCUAACCCGAUUCAUGUGGAGAUGGACCUCGAAGGCGACCACCAUGAGGGGAGAGAGUUUUGCUACCUGGUUGAGCUGGGAGAGGACCUCGUCUCCGUGUUCAUGCGUAACGCCGACGAGCCGCCACGGGUGUUCAAGCUCAACGAGGAGGAGAUGGCCUGGACAGAGGUACACGAGAUAGGCGGCGCGGCCUUGUUUCUUGAUUUCAGGGUGUCAUACGCCGUGGUGUCCCCGGAAGCUGGACAUGGCAAUAGGAUCUACUUCCCGAGGUAUUCCGAGAAUGGCAAACAAGCGGCUUUCUAUGAUAUGGAGACCAAGGCAUACCACCCAUCCUUCUAUGGGUUGAAGUCACCGUUGCAAUGUGUGUGGGUUGUGCCUAAUCUACGGCCACACAUCGUAUCAAAAUAA